GGCUCAGAUUGAACGCUGGCGGCGUGCUUAACACAUGCAAGUCGCGCGUGAAAGGACUUCGGUCCGAGUAAAGCGGCGCACGGGUGAGUAACGCGUGGAUGAUCUACCCAUGAGUUAGGAAUAACGGCUGGAAACGGUCGCUAAUACCAAAUACGCUCCGAUUUCAACUUCGGGGGAAAGGUGGCCUCUGCUUGCAAGCUACUGCUCAUGGAUGAGUCCGCGUCCCAUUAGCUAGUUGGUGGGGUAACGGCCCACCAAGGCGACGAUGGGUAGCCGGUCUGAGAGGAUGACCGGCCACACUGGGACUGGAACACGGCCCAGACUCCUACGGGAGGCAGCAGUGGGGAAUAUUGCGCAAUGGGCGAAAGCCUGACGCAGCGACGCCGCGUGAGGGAUGAAAGGUCCUCGGAUCGUAAACCUCUGUCAGGAGGGAAGAACCGCCACGGUGCUAAUCAGCCGUGGUCUGACGGUACCUCCAAAGGAAGCACCGGCUAACUCCGUGCCAGCAGCAGC
RNAcentral lists this ribosomal RNA (513 nucleotides) under uncultured bacterium. RNAcentral's name for it is "bacterial SSU rRNA". It matches the Rfam family "Bacterial small subunit ribosomal RNA", at positions 21 to 518 of the family's 1533-position model. The record is from RNAcentral.